CCUACGGGAGGCAGCAGUGAGGAAUAUUGGUCAAUGGGCGGAAGCCUGAACCAGCCAAGUCGCGUGAGGGAUUAAGGCCCUGCGGGUCGUAAACCUCUUUUGCCGGGGAGCAGAGGUCAGGACGUGUCCGGGCCGGGAGAGUACCCGGAGACAAAGCAUCGGCUAACUCCGUGCCAGAAGCCGCGGUAAUACGGAGGAUGCGAGCGUUAUCCGGAGUUAUUGGGUUCAAAGGGUGCGGAGGCGGGCAUUUAGGCCGGAGGGCAAAUGUCGGGGCUCAAACCCGGCCUGCCGUCGGAACUGGGUGCCUUGAGUGGGCGAGAAGUAGGCGGAAUGAGUGGUGUAGCGGUGAAAUGCAUAGAUAUCACGCAGAACCCCGAUUGCGAAGGCAGCAUACCGGCGCCCUACUGACGCUGAGGCACGAAAGUGCGGGUAUCGAACAGGAUUAGAUACCCGAGUAGUC
Molecule: ribosomal RNA, 460 nt
Filed under: uncultured bacterium
Lineage: Bacteria
Description: partial 16S ribosomal RNA
Rfam family: Bacterial small subunit ribosomal RNA
Source: RNAcentral